ACAUUUCUUCGGAACACACAUCAAUGGACUCAACCAAAGUUUGGCC
This 46-nucleotide ribosomal RNA is filed under the name Scolecobasidium cordanae. RNAcentral describes it as "Ochroconis cordanae partial 26S ribosomal RNA". Lineage: Eukaryota; Fungi; Ascomycota; Dothideomycetes; Venturiales; Sympoventuriaceae. The record is from RNAcentral.